AUGUAUAUGAAAACAUCCUUGACCUUUUGUACACAAUCUUCACCCAGCUGGAGAUUCAAGGAUUGCUCAACCCUGGUGAAGAAAUUGACUUGUUUGCACUGCACAGAUGCUUUUUGCAUCACAUUCAACAUCAUCUUCAGUCAUUCUAGGAAGCAUGGAAUCAGCACGGACUCAGAACAGCAAACAACCAUUCACCCCUGCAACUCUGGUUGCUGCACAGAAAAGAGGGACAAGAUUUGUCACAGGGAGCAGUCUCUGAUUCCCUUGGUAAGAAAAGAGGAAUGAUGUCUGAUCUUUCUGUCAGAAGCGGCCAUACCAUGGUCUCCUUAAGCCCUUUCCUCAGCUGCUUGACUUGACGGCUUGUUCGUGUUAUGACCUACAACGGUGAGACCAAACCAAAACUGAAGUUGGAGUCCGUAAAUUGAGACACACUUUAAAUGUUAAAUACUUAAAGAACAUCCACUGUACUGGUAAAAGCAUUUUAAAUGGCCUCCAAAGAGAUUUUUUUUAAUUGUAUAUGAAAAAUGUACUUAUUCACAUCCGAAGGUUUGAUGUGCUUUUCAAAAUGUAAAUUUAUUGGGGAGAGUAAGUCUGUACUCACAGCGUGGAAUAGCAGACAUUCAUACAGCCACUUUCUAUCGGUUUGUGUGACACCUGGCAGGUCCCAAGCCAGGGCUAGCUCGAGAACAUUUCUUUGUUCCAGUUCUGUUAAUUCAGUAGUGCCAUCAAGCUAGGACAGAGAAAAAAAAAGUUAGUAGUCAGUAGUAGGUACUGAUGGCUAUUCAAUCAUGUCUCUAAAUUCAAUAUUUAGUGAAAUAGUAAUUCUUUAAAAUAAUGGUACAAAAAUGCAAACCAGCUGAAUAGUGCUGCGGAUGUCAAUAUCAUGGCAAUCCUCAAUCUGAACCGUAGCUGUUUCAGGUGAGCCACCAAAAAGGACAUGGAUGAUUGCAGGACUUAUACCAGACACACACGGUCCACCAUGAAUGACUGAAUGUCCCAUUAUUCUUCCUAAGAUCAAACAUAAAUUCACUUAGCCUAACAUUGCACGGGGGUAAAAACAAACAGUUUUGUAACUGUAUUCAAUCUAUUUUUCAUCUUUAUGGUUACAGUUAGGAUAAUGUAACACAAGUAAUGCUGUUUCCUUUAGUGCUGCACAUGUAUUAUUUUAAAUUACUCCUCUUAUUUCUGUACAUGACUUUCUUACCUGCCACCAAAAACAUGUCCCUCUCAAGCAAGGUCUGAGAAGUGGAUGGAGUCAAGUGUUCUGGCUCACCGUCAAACCGUCUUGUAAGAUCUGUGUUCCCUGAAAAGAGUACAGCUAGGUUAUGGUGAGUAUGAGAAAUCCAGGCAGUAAUUUUAACACAAUUAACUCAUUU
RNAcentral lists this long non-coding RNA (1376 nucleotides) under Oreochromis niloticus (Nile tilapia). RNAcentral describes it as "lncRNA (ENSONIG00000042315.1)". Lineage: Eukaryota; Metazoa; Chordata; Actinopteri; Cichliformes; Cichlidae. The record is from RNAcentral.